Chroicocephalus ridibundus (black-headed gull) is the source of this 1614-nucleotide long non-coding RNA. RefSeq lists it as uncharacterized. Lineage: Eukaryota; Metazoa; Chordata; Aves; Charadriiformes; Laridae. The transcript has 3 exons. The record is from RefSeq and is a predicted model, not a curated record.
CCGCCUGCAGGCACGGCCCCUGCUCUCCCCACUUUAGUUUCGGUUCGUCGCUCGGCGCCGCGGCCCGCGCAGCCGCCGGGCGGGCAGCUUGGCUUGCUGCUCUGCCCAGCCCCGCGCCUUCGGGCCGCCAGCCGGCCUCCCGCUCCCACGGUGCCUUCCCGCCGCCACGUCGCUCCGUUCCCGCUGUUUAAAACGAAACCGAUCAGCCCGCCGCAGGCGGCUGCGUGCAAGCACCGCCCCCGAGCGGAGAGAGGGCGGAACCCGGCCGGCGGGGCGGGGGACACUCGAAAACGAAACAGCACGAACGCCAUGGAGCCCCUCGGCAGCGGCCGCCGGCUCCGCUCGCACUGACGGGGUCUGGGUUUCCUGAAACGCAGGAGGGGGCGAGACUGAUUAGAGAAAGUCAGCGAAACCCAGAGGAGCAACGUCACCUGCUGAUGAGUCAUUAGAGGAACAUAAUCAGCCUUUUGCUACCAGUCCGGCAGGACGACCGGCUCUUGAUGCAGAACUGCUUAGCAAAGGGAACAAAUGAGAACUUACAAAAUACUUCCUCUCUUGUGAAAAACAUCUUUUUCAAGAGUUGACAGCCCUCUGGAUUACAGACUGAGGACUGGAUGCUCAUUAAGACAGACAAAUAGGAGAAAAAAGGGACAGCAGACCUCUGCAAAGGCUUACCCCAGUCCUGAGACUUCUGUCCAAGGAGGGAAACAAACUAAAGUUUGAUUGUAUCCAUAUAGAUUCUUAAAGAUUUACAGAACCCUUUGUGGAAUAAUUACUAAAUUGGCUAAAAAUACAAAAGUACAGCAUUGUUCACACAUUAAGGAAAAGUAUAAAAUCAAGAAGCUUCUGAGGUAGAAAACAGCCGCAGCUGGCAUGAAGAAUACAACACCUGUGGUUCCCUGAUAAGGAUGCUUGUGAAGCUAGAUGAGGUACGGGACAGGAUGCAAUUAUUCUGUGGCUUUAUCUUAUGAUGUAUAGCAGAUACGGGAAUGGGAUGAUACCAUGAAACAGAUAAGCUGCCAAUUAGCUGCCUGCUCGAUACUCGGAGCAAACAUUUUGUCAAAUUUUGAUGAAAUGCUGUCCUUUGUGCGAACUUUGCUCAUUAUAAUGUCAUUAUAAUACCAAAACACACCUCCAUCCCAAAGGCUACCCGCCAUCAAGAUGCGACCACUCCUCCUUGAGUCUGUGCCCUGAAUUUCUCGUAAACUAUACCUUUAAUUGUGAAGCAAGAGAAUUUUACACCAAUCAUAAUAAAACUACGUAUGACUAAAGUCACUCAAACUCCACCUUGAAGAUAACAAGUAGUACAAAGAUAGCCCAAGAGAGCGGGGAUAUGCAGGGAAGACACCACCACGAAGAAUUCCAUCACUGACUUCCGGGAUCAGUCGACGGGCUGAGCCUUUCUUCCCCCUCAUGGGGACGCCUUUGGGUAAGACUUAGAUUAUACCGAGUGCUUUCUCGGGAAACUUAGAAAUUUCUCUAGAGAAUCUCUUUCCUACAUUUAUAGCCAGGCUGUGUCGUUUAUAACUUUGUCGCGCAUUUUGUAUAUGUAACAAUACUUUCAUUUGCACGUGCUUUGCAGACAAUGUAUUUAUUGCCAGCAAUCCUAAGAAC